This 394-nucleotide ribosomal RNA is filed under the name Mesorhizobium sp. M00.F.Ca.ET.217.01.1.1. RNAcentral describes it as "partial 23S ribosomal RNA". It matches the Rfam family "Bacterial large subunit ribosomal RNA", at positions 414 to 811 of the family's 2925-position model. Lineage: Bacteria; Pseudomonadati; Pseudomonadota; Alphaproteobacteria; Hyphomicrobiales; Phyllobacteriaceae. The record is from RNAcentral.
ACGACGGAACACGAGAAAUUCCGUCGGAAUCCGGGAGGACCAUCUCCCAAGGCUAAAUACUCUCUAGUGACCGAUAGUGAACCAGUACCGUGAGGGAAAGGUGAAAAGUACCCCGGAAGGGGAGUGAAAGAGAACUUGAAACCGUGUGCUUACAAGUAGUCAGAGCCCGUUAAUGGGUGAUGGCGUGCCUUUUGUAGAAUGAACCGGCGAGUUACGAUUUGAUGCAAGGUUAAGCAGUGAAUGUGGAGCCGUAGCGAAAGCGAGUCUGAAUAGGGCGUUGAGUAUUUGGUCGUAGACCCGAAACCAGGUGAUCUACCCUUGACCAGGUUGAAGUUCAGGUAACACUGAAUGGAGGACCGAACCGACUUACGUUGAAAAGUGAGCGGAUGAGUUG